GUGGGGAAUAUUGGACAAUGGGGGGAACCCUGAUCCAGCCAUGCCGCGUGUGUGAAGAAGGCCUUUUGGUUGUAAAGCACUUUAAGCGAGGAGGAGGCUACCGAGAUUAAUACUCUUGGAUAGUGGACGUUACUCGCAGAAUAAGCACCGGCUAACUCUGUGCCAGCAGCCGCGGUAAUACAGAGGGUGCAAGCGUUAAUCGGAUUUACUGGGCGUCAAGCGCGCGUAGGUGGCCAAUUAAGUCAAAGGUGAAAUCCCCGAGCUUAACUUGGGAAUUGCAUUCGAUACUGGUUGGCUAGAGUAUGGGAGAGGAUGGUAGAAUUCCAGGUGUAGCGGUGAAAUGCGUAGAGAUCUGGAGGAAUACCGAUGGCGAAGGCAGCCAUCUGGCCUAAUACUGACACUGAGGUGCGAAAGCAUGGGGAGCAAACAGGAUUAGAAACCCCGGUAGUCC
This 451-nucleotide ribosomal RNA is filed under the name uncultured bacterium. RNAcentral describes it as "partial 16S ribosomal RNA". It matches the Rfam family "Bacterial small subunit ribosomal RNA", at positions 354 to 796 of the family's 1533-position model. The record is from RNAcentral.